GGCGCGCGAUACAGGGUGACAGCCCCGUACACAAAAGCGCAUGUGCUGUGAGCUCGAUGAGUAGGGCGGGACACGUGGUAUCCUGUCUGAAUAUGGGGGGACCAUCCUCCAAGGCUAAAUACUCCUGACUGACCGAUAGUGAACCAGUACCGUGAGGGAAAGGCGAAAAGAACCCCGGCGAGGGGAGUGAAAAAGAACCUGAAACCGU
Molecule: ribosomal RNA, 208 nt
Filed under: Salmonella enterica
Lineage: Bacteria; Pseudomonadati; Pseudomonadota; Gammaproteobacteria; Enterobacterales; Enterobacteriaceae
Also listed under: 1 other name
Description: partial 23S ribosomal RNA
Rfam family: Bacterial large subunit ribosomal RNA
Source: RNAcentral